AUUGAACGUUGGCGGAAUGCUUUACACAUGCAAGUCGAACGGUAGAGGGGGCAACCCCCUUGAGAGUGGCGAACGGGUGAGUAAUAUAUCGGAACGUGCCCGGUCGUGGGGGAUAACGUAGCGAAAGCUACGCUAAUACCGCAUACGAUCUACGGAUGAAAGCGGGGGAUCGCAAGACCUCGCGCGAUUGGAGCGGCCGAUAUCAGAUUAGGUAGUUGGUGAGGUAAAGGCUCACCAAGCCGACGAUCUGUAGCUGGUCUGAGAGGACGACCAGCCACACUGGGACUGAGACACGGCCCAGACUCCUACGGGAGGCAGCAGUGGGGAAUUUUGGACAAUGGGCGCAAGCCUGAUCCAGCAAUGCCGCGUGCAGGAUGAAGGCCU
This 384-nucleotide ribosomal RNA is filed under the name uncultured bacterium. RNAcentral describes it as "bacterial SSU rRNA". It matches the Rfam family "Bacterial small subunit ribosomal RNA", at positions 30 to 417 of the family's 1533-position model. The record is from RNAcentral.